Molecule: ribosomal RNA, 1392 nt
Filed under: uncultured bacterium
Lineage: Bacteria
Description: partial 16S ribosomal RNA
Rfam family: Bacterial small subunit ribosomal RNA
Source: RNAcentral
AGAGUUUGAUCCUGGCUCAGGAUGAACGCUGGCGGCGUGCUUAACACAUGCAAGUCGAACGAAGCACUCUAUUUGAUUUUCUUCGGAAAUGAAGAUUUUGUGACUGAGUGGCGGACGGGUGAGUAACGCGUGGGUAACCUGCCUCAUACAGGGGGAUAACAGUUGGAAACGACUGCUAAUACCGCAUAAGCGCACAGUAUUGCAUGAUACAGUGUGAAAAACUCCGGUGGUAUGAGAUGGACCCGCGUCUGAUUAGCUGGUUGGCAGGGUAACGGCCUACCAAGGCAACGAUCAGUAGCCGGUCUGAGAGGAUGAACGGCCACAUUGGAACUGAGACACGGUCCAAACUCCUACGGGAGGCAGCAGUGGGGAAUAUUGCACAAUGGGGGAAACCCUGAUGCAGCAACGCCGCGUGAGUGAAGAAGUAUUUCGGUAUGUAAAGCUCUAUCAGCAGGGAAGAUAAUGACGGUACCUGAGGAGGAAGCCCCGGCUAACUACGUGCCAGCAGCCGCGGUAAUACGUAGGGGGCAAGCGUUGUCCGGAAUGACUGGGCGUAAAGGGCGUGUAGGCGGCCUGAUAAGUAUGAAGUGAAAGUCCUGCUUUCAAGGUGGGAAUUGCUUUGUAGACUGUCGGGCUUGAGUGCGGAAGAGGUAAGUGGAAUUCCCAGUGUAGCGGUGAAAUGCGUAGAGAUUGGGAGGAACACCAGUGGCGAAGGCGACUUACUGGGCCGUAACUGACGCUGAGGCGCGAAAGCGUGGGGAGCGAACAGGAUUAGAUACCCUGGUAGUCCACGCUGUAAACGAUGAAUGCUAGGUGUAGGGGGUAUCGACCCCUCCUGUGCCGGAGUAAACGCAAUAAGCAUUCCGCCUGGGGAGUACGGCCGCAAGGUUGAAACUCAAAGGAAUUGACGGGGGCCCGCACAAGCAGCGGAGCAUGUUGUUUAAUUCGAUGCAACGCGAAGAACCUUACCAGGUCUUGACAUCGAUGCAAAGUACUAGAGAUAGUAUGUGCCUUCGGGCAGCAGAAGACAGGUGGUGCAUGGUUGUCGUCAGCUCGUGUCGUGAGAUGUUGGGUUAAGUCCCGCAACGAGCGCAACCCUUAUGAUCAGUUACUAACGGGAAAGCCGAGGACUCUGAUAAGACUGCCGGGGACAACUCGGAGGAAGGUGGGGACGACGUCAAAUCAUCAUGCCCCUUAUGACCUGGGCUACAAACGUGCUACAAUGGCGACUACAAAGAGAAGCGAGUCUGUGAAGAUAAGCGGAUCUCAAAAAAGCCGUCCCAGUUCGGAUUGUGGGCUGCAACCCGCCCACAUGAAGUUGGAGUUGCUAGUAAUCGCGGAUCAGAAUGCCGCGGUGAAUACGCUCCCGGGCCUUGCACACACCGCCCGUCA